This is a small nuclear RNA of Aotus nancymaae (Ma's night monkey), 164 nucleotides long. Its record names the gene U1. It matches the Rfam family "U1 spliceosomal RNA". From Rfam's summary of the family: U1 is a small nuclear RNA (snRNA) component of the spliceosome (involved in pre-mRNA splicing). Its 5' end forms complementary base pairs with the 5' splice junction, thus defining the 5' donor site of an intron. The record is from Ensembl. Lineage: Eukaryota; Metazoa; Chordata; Mammalia; Primates; Aotidae.
AUACUUACCUGGAAGAGGAGAUACCAUGAUUACGAAGGUGGUUUUCCCAGGGCGAGGCUUAUCCAUUGCACUCCGGAUGUGCUGACCCCUGCAAUUUCCCCAAAUGUGGGAAACUCAGCUGCAUAAUUUGUGGUAGUGGGGGACUGUGUUUGAGCUUUCCCCUG